This is a non-coding RNA of Aedes albopictus (Asian tiger mosquito), 58 nucleotides long. NCBI's taxonomy places the organism in Eukaryota, Metazoa, Arthropoda, Insecta, Diptera, Culicidae. The record is from Rfam.
UAGCCCAGUGGUUAAGGCUAUGGAUCGCCAAUCCGGAGACAGCGGGUUCGAUUCCCGU